CGAUUGGCUGAAAGGAAGGGGCGUGGAGAGCGCGCGCCAAAGCGCAGGAGGCGGGGCCAGUGGAAGGGGCGGGGCUGAAGGCGGAGUGUGAGACAGGUGGAGAAGUGAUGGUAAAUUUCCACUCGAACUGUUGGGGAGCUAGUUACUGGUAGAGCGGCCCCAAGGCCGGGCUUCGGUGGCUGCAGUAGACUGGAUCUGGAUCUCUAAAUAGCAAUCUAUUGACAUGGCUGCCAGCGUAAUGGAACCCCUGAUUGAUACACGGACCCAUGACUGUCCACAAGAAAGACUACAUUUCCCAACUCCCAUGCAUCAAGGUAUGGAUCCCAGCUUUUCAAAGUCUGAAGCUUAUACAAUUUGAAGAAGCCUUUUCCUGAAAGGAAAAGAAAAAGACUACAAGAUGACGAAUACAAAAUCAGGAGCC
Gorilla gorilla gorilla (western lowland gorilla) is the source of this 421-nucleotide long non-coding RNA. RefSeq lists it as uncharacterized. Lineage: Eukaryota; Metazoa; Chordata; Mammalia; Primates; Hominidae. The transcript has 3 exons. The record is from RefSeq and is a predicted model, not a curated record.